ACUCAAAGGAAUUGACGGGGGCCCGCACAAGCAGUGGAGCAUGUGGUUUAAUUCGACGCAACGCGAAGAACCUUACCUGGGCUCGAAAUGUAGAGGACGACAUCAGAGAUGAUGUUUCUCGAAAGGGUCUCUAUAUAGGUGCUGCAUGGCUGUCGUCAGCUCGUGCCGUGAGGUGUUUGGUUAAGUCCAGCAACGAGCGCAACCCUUAUCGUUAGUUACCAACGCGUGAAGGCGGGAACUCUAACGAGACUGCCUGGGUUAACCAGGAGGAAGGUGAGGAUGACGUCAAGUCCGCAUGGCCUUUAUGUCCAGGGCAACACACGUGCUACAAUGGUCGGUACAGAAGGCAGCGAAACCGCGAGGUGGAGCAAAUCCUGCAAAACCGAUCUCAGUUCAGAUUGGAGUCUGCAACUCGACUCCAUGAAGUUGGAAUUGCUAGUAAAGGCGUGUCAGCUACAACGCCUUGAAUACGUUCCCGGGCCUUGUACACACCGCCCGU
RNAcentral lists this ribosomal RNA (499 nucleotides) under uncultured bacterium. RNAcentral describes it as "partial 16S ribosomal RNA". It matches the Rfam family "Bacterial small subunit ribosomal RNA", at positions 899 to 1397 of the family's 1533-position model. The record is from RNAcentral.